CGCCUCUUGACUAAACAUAAGAGGUCCAGCCUGCCCAGUGACUCUGUUUAACGGCCGCGGUAUCCUAACCGUGCGAAGGUAGCGUAAUCACUUGUUCUUUAAAUAAGGACUAGUAUGAAUGGCAUCACGAGGGUUAUACUGUCUCCUUUUUUCAAUCAGUGAAACUAAUCUCCCCGUGAAGAAGCGGGGAUAAAUAUAUAAGACGAGAAGACCCUAUGGAGCUUUAAACUACGUAACAACUGCUUUAUCUUAUUUACAUUUCUGAACCCCUUACAUUUACCACAGCUUAAUGAUUACUAGUUUUAGGUUGGGGUGACCGCGGAGUAAAAAACAACCUCCACUUUGUAUGGGAUUGAAUUCCUGAGCCAUGAGAGACACCUCUAAGCACUAAUUUAUUAACAUUAAUUGACCCAUUAAUUUGAUCAACGAACCAAGUUACCCUAGGGAUAACAGCGCAAUUCACCUCAAGAGCCCCUAUCGACAGGUGAGUUUACGACCUCGAUGUUGGAUCAGGGUGUCCGAGUGGUGCAGCCGCUACUAAAGGUUCGUUUGUUCAACGAUUAAAACCCUA
RNAcentral lists this ribosomal RNA (571 nucleotides) under Ecnomiohyla rabborum (Rabbs' fringe-limbed treefrog). RNAcentral's name for it is "partial 16S ribosomal RNA". It matches the Rfam family "Bacterial large subunit ribosomal RNA", at positions 1829 to 2598 of the family's 2925-position model. Lineage: Eukaryota; Metazoa; Chordata; Amphibia; Anura; Hylidae. The record is from RNAcentral.